This is an RNA transcript of Phycodurus eques (leafy seadragon), 4846 nucleotides long. It is a transcript of the gene named WD repeat-containing protein 20, with no coding region annotated. The record is from RefSeq and is a predicted model, not a curated record. The transcript has 5 exons. NCBI's taxonomy places the organism in Eukaryota, Metazoa, Chordata, Actinopteri, Syngnathiformes, Syngnathidae.
GGAACACGGGUCCAUGUGGUUCUCGAGGUGGCUAUCAAUGUUGGGGACUCCAGCUGUAGACCAAACACCUAUUCAACCUGAGGUGUAGCGCUAAACCCAUCUGCUGGGCGAAUUAAACACUACAUCGGAAAACAAAGCUUCAGCUUCAGUUUCAACUUUUGGUGUUUCAAAUGAGGGUUAAGGGUUUGAAAUGGUCAUGGUUUUAAAGGACGGUUUCGAGGAAGGAUUACCAUCUAAAGUAGGUUUAGAGUCUGGGUUAGGUGUUCAAACAAGUGUUUUGGGUUCAAAGUAGGGUUUCAAGCAACUGAUAGGUAGGUAGUUCGUGAUCCCUUUCAAUAACGUGAAGUGGGAGGAUGAGGUCCAAAACGAGGCCCAUGUGCCUCAUGUUUACUCAACAUUCCUGUCAGUGCGCAGCUUUACCACCAGACAGGGAGCAAGCGGGCCGGCACAUUUCCGCUCACACCUCGUGGAGGGCGGCAGGGAGCAGUUCGAGAAUGACGCCGUCGCCAGUUCACAGGGGCUCUCUGUCGUCGGGUUUAAGUCUUCAGCCAGCGGCUCUCCGGUGGCCGGUGCUGUAGUAAAAUGCAGCGGGCCACACUGGCAGCGCUGGUCGGCCUAGCUGAGCGCGGCUGCUCGCCCCCGCCGCGCCCGUUUAUGAUCUAGUAUUUUCUUUCUCUUUCGUUCUUUUUUGUUGUUGUUGGGAUUGGGGGGUGAAUUAUUAUCGCGGCGUUAUUGUUUCCAGGUCAAGACUUUACUCAGCGGCGUGUGUGGACUGAAAAUGGCCGGAGAUGGCGGCGCUCUGAAGGAUAUCAAUGAGAUUAAAUCGCAGUUCCGGACCAGAGAGGGCUUCUACAAGCUGCUCACCCUGUCUGAUUCGCAGCAGCGGGGCGGGCUGCAAAGGGGUCCCUCCGCCGGGGCCACGCUGGGCCCGGCGACUGGAACCGGCCCGAUACCCGGCGGAGGGGUCGGGCUCCUCCAGGGGCCCGGUGCCGCCGCCGCAGCCGCUGCCGCAGCCGCCGUUGUCGCCUCAUCGUCGAAUGCCGCAGCCAACUCCUCCCCGGCGGGCUUCCUUCCGCCGGUGCGGGUCUCCAUGGUCAAGCUCCAACCCGAAGACCCGGGCGACGAGUCGGAGCGGGUGUGCUUCAACAUCGGCAGGGAGCUUUAUUUCUACACGUACACGAACAUUAAAAAGGCGGUGGACCUGAGCAAGCCAAUCGACAAGAGGAUUUACAAGGGCACGCAGCCUACGUGUCACGACUUCAACCAGUACUCGGCGUCAGCCGAUAGUGUGGCGCUCAUUGUGGGCUUCUCGGCUGGACAGGUGCAGUACCUGGACCCCAUCAAGAAGGAGACCAGCAAGCUCUUCAAUGAGGAGCGUCUGAUCGACAAAUCCAAGGUGACAUGUCUGAAAUGGCUCCCCAAGUCUGAGAACCUGUUCCUGGCCUCUCACGCCAGCGGCCACUUGUACCUCUACAACGUGGAACACUCGUGCGGCACCGCUGCGCCUCAAUACUCACUUCUGCGCCAGGGCGAGGGCUUCGCCGUGUACGCCUGCAAGACCAAGACACCCCGAAACCCCCUUCUACGGUGGGCCGUGGGCGAGGGCGGCCUCAACGAGUUCUCCUUCUCACCCGACGGGGUCCACGUGGCCUGCGUGGGUCAGGACGGCUGCCUCCGGAUCUUCCACUUUGAUUCGAUGGAGCUCCAGGGUGUGAUGCGGAGUUACUUUGGAGGCCUGCUGUGUGUUUCCUGGAGCCCAGAUGGGAAGUACCUGGCCACAGGCGGCGAGGACGACCUGGUUACCGUGUGGUCCUUCGCCGAGAGCCGGGUGGUGGCCCGCGGGCACGGACACAAGUCCUGGGUCAACGUGGUGGCGUUCGACCCCUUCACCACCUCCCUGGAGGAUGAGGAGCCCAUGGAGCUCAGUGGAAGUGAGGAGGACCUCCACCAGGGUGGGGCGCCCAACAAUACCGCCUCGCACUUCGGGCGGGUGCGCACCAGCAGCACCCUGUCACGGCUCUCCCGGCACAGCUCCAAGGGUGGCAGCUCGGCGGCCGUCACCUACCGAUUCGGAUCCGUGGGGCAGGACACCCAAUUCUGUUUAUGGGACCUCACAGACGACGUGCUGUACCCUCGGCUGCCGCUUUCCCGCGCCUUUACCAACACGUUUGGACCCACGCUGCCCAACUCCGGGGUUGGCGGCGUGGAGGGCCACCACCAUCCGCCCGUUGUGGGUACUUCCAACCCACCCACGCUGCCUCUCCCGCUCCCUCGCUCCCUAUCCCGGUCUAACUCUCUUCCCCACCCAGCAGUCGCAAACACCUCCAAGAGCCAGGGUGCCACAGAGGGUGGCACUGGUGGAACAGUAAGUGGAACUGGUACCGUGGGUGGUGGCCCAGGUAGUACCGCUCCGUUCAGCAUCGGCCGCUUUGCUACACUUUCCCUCCAGGAGCGCAAGUUGGACAAGUCGGUGGUAGGCGGUGGUGUGGAGAAAGAACACAAGCGCUACCACAGCCUGGGUAACAUCAGCAAGAGUAAUGAUAAGAUCAACGUGGCUCCGCGAGGCAGUGGGCGCCUGGAUGCCGCCAAGGUUCUGGGCACCACACUGUGCCCACGCAUGCACGAGGUGCCACUACUGGAGCCGCUGGUGUGCAAAAAGAUCGCCCACGAGAGACUCACCGUGCUUGUCUUCAUGGACGACUGCAUCAUCACAGCGUGCCAAGAGGGGCUCAUCUGCACAUGGGCCAGGCCUGGCAAGGCGGACAUGCAGUGGAACUAGGCAUUUUGGCACAAAAUGGAAACUUCACACGACAUCAGUGAAAAGGAAAGUAAAAUGAGACUGCAUGAAAAAGAGUAAUGAAGGGAACCAAAUGCUCUGUAAAACGUUGAUUCCUUUACCUACCCACCGAUGAGGCAUAAGAACUUGACAGCACAGAAUGGAAACUCUCCAAGUGGCACGGUGGUAUAGCUAGACCUUCAUCCCUCCUCAUACCAUCCCAAAAUGGAGGGCAACCAUCAAGACCAGGCCACCUCACCGCUGCAGUAUUACGGUCCACUCAUCUCGCAGAAGCUACGGCCAGCUGUAUUUAAUGUAUUUUAUCGUGAGACUGUGUAGUAAUUUAUACUGUAAAUAGUCGAAGUACUCUAACUGUGAGGAGGCUGUACAGGAAGCAAGUGAACACAUUGUAAAUGGGAACACUGAAUGUCUUUUAGGGAGUUAUGUCAUGAUGUCACCGUCUCUUAAGUUCACGCCGGAUGUGCUUGAGACGCUUCGACGGGCUCUGAAAGAGGCGUUGUCACACUCCGGUCCAAGUAACAUGACCACUCGCACAAAACAUACACACAGUCGCUGGCGGUGUAGCAUCACGUGUAUGUCACACUCAUUUGUGUUGCACAAAGGAGCAUUAGACACUCAUUGGAAAGAGAAAAACGAUGAUACUAUUACUCUAUGAGAAUGAAGACAAGAAAAAAAAACUCAAUGGUUUUAAAAGAAUCUUUAUUUCAAGAAAAAGAAAAAGUUGCUAUCUUUUUGGAGAAAGGACAUUUAAAAAAAACAUUUUUUUUCCCCUAAGAGUAAAAGAUGCAAAUCUUAGUGAAAAGGCUUGCUUUUUUUUUAUUUUGUAUUUUUUUUAAUAUAAAUAAAUUGUAAUUACCCCCCACCCCUGUGAAUAAGUCAGUUUUUUGAGAGAAAGGUAAAUUUAAUUCUUAGAGGAAAAACUGUCAUAUAAGAAGUUGCUCUUUUAUAAUUAAAACAUGUUUUUGUUUUCCAGGAAAACCGACGGUUUGAAAAAAGUUAUAUUUUAGUAAGUGAAAAGUUAGUUUUUUGGGGGGCGGGGAGGGGGGUGUAAUUUUAAGAGGGGGAAAAUACACAAACCUGAGAUGUCCCGAGGGAUUAUUUUUUUAUUCUCAAAAGGUAAAGGCAAGCGCUAAUUCUGUAAUCGUCAAUGUGUGGUUCUUCUCGAAAAUAUACUGCAUUUUUCAAGAAAAGUCAAAAUGUUCAAGAAAAUAUUUCUUUGCAAUUGCUUGAUGAAUUCUUUGUGGGUGUUUUUUUCCCCAAGAAAAGGCAUAGUUUUUCAAGUCUCAGUUCAAAGUUGCAGUUUUAGGAUUAGUGGAAUUCUUUGUCAAAAUGGUCUAGAUUAUUCAAGGAAAGUCACUUUUUGGGAAAAAUGAAAUUCUUUGACAAGAAGUCCACUUUUUUGGGCAGAAAAUGGAUAAUGUCUUACACUUCACCAUCCCUCACGAAAUCCUUCUUUUUUCUUGUAAUAUCAGAUCUUAAUUUUAAUAGUAUUUUGUUUGUUCCUUUCCAAUGUGGCUCUGAUACUCCUUGGUAGUGUUGCACCUGACUUUCCUCUUGCAAUAAUUUGCACACACAAAAACAAUUCAUGGCCCCUCUAACUCGCCACUCAGUGGACUUCACUGAAAACACACAUGAACAGAUAAAACAUUUGAAUGAAAGUCUCCUGUGAUUUAUGCUUUGCAGCGACAAUAAAAAUGAGCCAAGUAUGUUUGUGUGUCUCUCGCCACGAUGACAUCAUUCGUGUCUUUUUCUCUCGUUCGAGACCAGGAAGCUGUUGUAAUGGCCUUCCUUGGUUUCCUUUUGGAUACUAAACACGAUACUGUGAACGUAGAGCACACGUGAUGAGGACGAGAAUGAUUAUUUUUGUAAAAGUCAUGACAUGCAAUGCGACUUCUAAAUUGUGUAAACUACCUAACAAGCUGUUUAAAGCGGUGAUUCUCAAGUGGUGGGUCAGGACCAAAAGUGGGUCGCAGACAGCUAAUAAAAAAAUGACAUCAUGUAUUCCGAUAGAGAGUUCUUCUUACUAAGUUCCCACACAAAACGUAGUAG